Molecule: RNase P RNA, 426 nt
Filed under: Novosphingobium sp.
Lineage: Bacteria; Pseudomonadati; Pseudomonadota; Alphaproteobacteria; Sphingomonadales; Sphingomonadaceae
Description: RNase P RNA component class A
Rfam family: Bacterial RNase P class A
About the family: Ribonuclease P (RNase P) is a ubiquitous endoribonuclease, found in archaea, bacteria and eukarya as well as chloroplasts and mitochondria. Its best characterised activity is the generation of mature 5'-ends of tRNAs by cleaving the 5'-leader elements of precursor-tRNAs.
Source: RNAcentral
UCAGGGGGCCGGGCAGCCGCGUUGGGGCUUGCGCUCCACCGAGGAAAGUCCGGGCUCCACGAAGCAAGGGUGGCGGGUAACGCCCGCCGGGGGUGACCCCAGGGAAAGUGCCACAGAGAGAAUACCGCCGAUGGAACGCCCGCUCAGGCGGGUUUCACAGGCAAGGGUGAAAGGGUGCGGCAAGAGCGCACCGGGGCGCUGGCAACAGGGCCCGCAUGGCAAACCCCACCCGGAGCAAGACCGAAUAGGGGCGGCGCGCCUGCGUCCUUCGGGGCAAGGGCAGGUGAGUUUCGCACCAGUCGCCCGGGUUGGUUGCUUGAGCCAUGCGGCAACGCAUGGCGUAGAUGAAUGGCUGCCAUUGCGGAUACGGUCUCCGGUGAGAUACCGUCCGCGAUACAGAACCCGGCUUACAGGCCCCCUGACACU